UACAGAGGUCUCAAGCGUUGUUCGGAUUCAUUGGGCGUAAAGGGUGCGUAGGUGGCGGGGUUAGUCAGGUGUGAAAUCUCGGAGCUCAACUCCGAAACUGCACUUGAUACUGCCUUGCUAGAGUACUGGAGAGGAGAUUGGAAUUUACGGUGUAGCAGAGAAAUGCGUAGAUAUCGUAAGGAAGACCAGUGGCGAAGGCGAAUCUCUGGACAGUUACUGACACUGAGGCACGAAGGCCAGGGGAGCAAACGGG
This 253-nucleotide ribosomal RNA is filed under the name uncultured bacterium. RNAcentral's name for it is "partial 16S ribosomal RNA". It matches the Rfam family "Bacterial small subunit ribosomal RNA", at positions 524 to 776 of the family's 1533-position model. The record is from RNAcentral.